GUGAACGCUGGCGGUAGGCCUAACACAUGCAAGUCGAACGGCAGCACAGUAAGAGCUUGCUCUUACGGGUGGCGAGUGGCGGACGGGUGAGGAAUACAUCGGAAUCUACUUUUUCGUGGGGGAUAACGUAGGGAAACUUACGCUAAUACCGCAUACGACCUACGGGUGAAAGCAGGGGAUCUUCGGACCUUGCGCGAUUGAAUGAGCCGAUGUCGGAUUAGCUAGUUGGCGGGGUAAAGGCCCACCAAGGCGACGAUCCGUAGCUGGUCUGAGAGGAUGAUCAGCCACACUGGAACUGAGACACGGUCCAGACUCCUACGGGAGGCAGCAGUGGGGAAUAUUGGACAAUGGGCGCAAGCCUGAUCCAGCCAUACCGCGUGGGUGAAGAAGGCCUUCGGGUUGUAAAGCCCAUUUGUUGGGAAAGAAAAGCAGCAGGUUAAUACCCCGCUGUUCUGACGGUACCCAAAGAAUAAGCACCGGCUAACUUCGUG
Molecule: ribosomal RNA, 491 nt
Filed under: uncultured bacterium
Lineage: Bacteria
Description: partial 16S ribosomal RNA
Rfam family: Bacterial small subunit ribosomal RNA
Source: RNAcentral